GAAAGUGGGGGACCUUCGGGCCUCACGCUAUUGGAUGAGCCUAAGUCGGAUUAGCUUGUUGGUGAGGUAAAGGCUCACCAAGGCGACGAUCCGUAGCUGGUCUGAGAGGACGAUCAGCCACACUGGGACUGAGACACGGCCCAGACUCCUACGGGAGGCAGCAGUGGGGAAUAUUGGACAAUGGGCGCAAGCCUGAUCCAGCAAUGCCGCGUGUGUGAAGAAGGCCUGCGGGUUGUAAAGCACUUUCAGUAGAGAAGAAAAGCCUAGGGUUAAUACCCCUGAGUCUUGACGUAACCUACAGAAGAAGCACCGGCUAACUCCGUG
RNAcentral lists this ribosomal RNA (324 nucleotides) under uncultured bacterium. RNAcentral's name for it is "bacterial SSU rRNA". It matches the Rfam family "Bacterial small subunit ribosomal RNA", at positions 202 to 507 of the family's 1533-position model. The record is from RNAcentral.